This 468-nucleotide ribosomal RNA is filed under the name uncultured bacterium. Its description in RNAcentral is "partial 16S ribosomal RNA". It matches the Rfam family "Bacterial small subunit ribosomal RNA", at positions 28 to 507 of the family's 1533-position model. The record is from RNAcentral.
GACGAACGCUGGCGGCGUGCUUAACACAUGCAAGUCGAACGGAAAGGCCCUGCUUUUGUGGGGUGCUCGAGUGGCGAACGGGUGAGUAACACGUGAGUAACCUGCCCUUGACUUUGGGAUAACUUCAGGAAACUGGGGCUAAUACCGGAUAGGAGCUCCUGCUGCAUGGUGGGGGUUGGAAAGUUUCGGCGGUUGGGGAUGGACUCGCGGCUUAUCAGCUUGUUGGUGGGGUAGUGGCUUACCAAGGCUUUGACGGGUAGCCGGCCUGAGAGGGUGACCGGCCACAUUGGGACUGAGCUGCGGCCCAGACUCCUACGGGAGGCAGCAGUGGGGAAUAUUGCACCAUGGGCGGAAGCCUGAUGCAGCAACGCCGCGUGCGGGAUGACGGCCUUCGGGUUGUAAACCGCUUUCGCCUGUGACGAAGCGUGAGUGACGGUAAUGUGUAAAGAAGCACCGGCUAACUACGUG